AUUAAACAUAUAUUUAAAGUACAGGAGAUGGAAAAUUUUAAGUAAACCUAUAAAGGUUAUGGAGAUAAUAGCCUAAACAUUAUUCUUCUUGGUUACGAUGCAAGUAAUCUCGAUAUGAGGGGAUUUUUUGUUGUUUAUACUUAUACUAAAGUAAUAAUUCAAUAUUGUUUUUAUAUCAUUCAACAAACGUUGCUAUAUACUAAUCACCUUUCAUGUUAUCUAGAAAAUAGAACACCUCUAGAAGGGUCAGCUUUCUAAAACUUGUACUUAUAACUUGUUAAAAUGUUUAAUUAGAUUUACUCAUGUUAUUUAAGUAUAAAUUUUCCUAUUCUUACUCUUAGCUUACGCUUGCAAUCAUUACAUAUAACUCAAUAACUUAAUGAAACAACUCAAUAAAAUUGUUAGGUGUUUACUAAAUACGCUCUUAUUAGAUACAUAUUAAUAAGUUGAUCUCUUUAAACCAUUAAAUCAACCUUAGCAAACCUUAUUUCUGCCACAUGUAAUUUAUUACAACUACCAUUAAUAAAGGUACCCUUUAUAAAUAAUUUUAUGUUUCUAUUAUUUACAAAUGAAAAUUCAUUUUUCAGUCAAAAAUCUGAACUAUUAAGAGAAGAAGAAAAGACCCCGGGUAGUUCAGUACUAUUAAUGUCUAAUUUCUAUUAUACAUUGAGGAUACUUUUUCUGGGGUGGGUACCUUUCUUUAUUUAGCAUAGGUUAUUAUUAUAAACAAUUAAUUUGUAAAAAUUUAUCCAUAAAGCGCUUUAUAUUGACUUUAUGAACUAUACCAAACUAACCCCGGGGUUAACAGCGCAAUCACCAAUGGCAGACCUUAUGCAAUUGGUGUUUUACGACCUCGAUGUCGACUUAAGGAAACUAGUUCUUGCAGUGAAGAAGCUAAGUACGUAUGUUCGCCGUUUAAAUCCUUACGUGAGUUGGGUUAAGGUCGGUGAGAAUUAGACCGGAUUUUAUCUCUCAUUUAAUAUUUUUGUUAGUACGAAAGGAAAGC
RNAcentral lists this ribosomal RNA (1006 nucleotides) under Salpa fusiformis. RNAcentral's name for it is "large subunit ribosomal RNA". The stretch from base 608 to 974 matches the Rfam family "Archaeal large subunit ribosomal RNA", at positions 2151 to 2715 of the family's 2987-position model. The record is from RNAcentral. Lineage: Eukaryota; Metazoa; Chordata; Thaliacea; Salpida; Salpidae.